UUUUAUUUCAAUUGAUUAGGAACGUGAGUUUUUGUUUUGCCUUCAAUUGGCAUUUGGCCAGAAAAUUUUCAGCCUCAUUGAAUUUCUUCUUGAUUUUCCUUAGCCUCUUCUCUCUCGCCCACAGCUUCAGUUUCUUCGUCUUCGUUUUGUUCUCGUUUUCCUUUUCACUACAUUUUAGCAAAUGACUUUCUUGGCAAAAACUUUUAAAUUUGUUGUAUCAUCUAUUUUUAAUGUCAAACCGUAGGCGGCAGUGAAGGAGGAAAAUCGAGAUACAAAAGAUAGAGGGAGAGAGAGAGAGAGAGAGAGAUACAAUCAUCGAAUGAGUCAAAUGGAAUUUCCUUGCCUUGUUUCCCCUGUGUUCCUGUCGCUGUCCUGUUCUAUUACCAAGUUCUCACAUGCAGGUGAAAUUUUAAAUUUGUAUACUGGAAAAUGUAUGACAUAAGGAGAUCGAAAAGUUCUACAAAUCAAAGGAUUCCGCGGACCUUGAGAAGGUUUUCUUCUGUGGGCUACAAUCGAGUCAUCAAUGGCCCUGAUUCCCCAUGACAGGUCCACACCUUUCCCUCCAAAUCGAACACAAUAUUUCCAAGAACUCUAAAAAAUAUUCCCAAUCGCAGCAGUCAUUGGGAUUGCCAUUUUGGGGACUGACAGAUUGAGUAGUAUUUAUAUUUCAGUCCCAAAACAGAUUGUGUAGCGUAAAUACAUAUAUUUUAAUCAAAAUUUUUUUAUUCCGUUCUAAGUGGCAAAAUUUCUAGUGUGUUAAGUUUUCGGCUGUACCGCGUCACGUUCUUUAUGCUUUUAUUUUAAUAAAAAAGUGCAAUAAAAUCCAAAAAAAAAAAAGAGAAAAAAAUAAAAAUAAAAAAAAAUAUACAUAAAUGCAAGAAAAAUACAAUAGACCCAGGAUCUACAAUACAUUCGAAAGAAGGUGCAUCCGAAAUUCAGCAGAAAGUAAAAUAGUUAUUGAAAUUUCUGCAAUUGAGUUCGAAGCGCUCGAAGCUAUUUAAUUGCUGCCUUAGUGCUAGAGAUGGUCUACAGACACGAAACAAGGAUGCACUGCUAGAGACUACUAGACUAUUAUGUUGCAUCAGGCACAAUAAGAGGCCAACGAGAAAGACUGUACUUUGUUAUUGGAUUCUGAGGACCGACUCAGCGAUGCCAAGACAUUGCCGAGCAGGCGAAAGGGAGUAGGGAGCAGAGCAGCUCCCGCACCACGAAACAUAUUACGAAAAAUUGAAAUAGAAUUCGUAUCUGAUCCAA
RNAcentral lists this small RNA (1254 nucleotides) under Drosophila pseudoobscura pseudoobscura. RNAcentral's name for it is "GA33024". Lineage: Eukaryota; Metazoa; Arthropoda; Insecta; Diptera; Drosophilidae. The record is from RNAcentral.